GUGGCGGCGUGCUUAACACAUGCAAGUCGAGCGGUAAGGCCCUUCGGGGUACACGAGCGGCGAACGGGUGAGUAACACGUGGGCAACCUGCCCUGCACUCUGGGAUAAGCCUGGGAAACUGGGUCUAAUACCGGAUAGGACCUGUCCUCGCAUGAGGUGGGUGGAAAGUUCCGGCGGUGCAGGAUGGGCCCGCGGCCUAUCAGCUUGUUGGUGGGGUAGUGGCCUACCAAGGCGACGACGGGUAGCCGGCCUGAGAGGGCGACCGGCCACACUGGGACUGAGACACGGCCCAGACUCCUACGGGAGGCAGCAGUGGGGAAUAUUGCGCAAUGGGCGAAAGCCUGACGCAGCGACGCCGCGUGAGGGAUGACGGCCUUCGGGUUGUAAACCUCUUUCAGCGCCGACGAAGCGAAGUGACGGUAGGCGCAGAAGAAGCACCGGCUAACUACGUGCCAGCAGCCGCGGUAAUACGUAGGGUGCGAGCGUUGUCCGGAAUUAUUGGGCGUAAAGAGCUCGUAGGCGGUUUGUUGCGUCGGCCGUGAAAACCUGGGGCUUAACUCCGGGCUUGCGGUCGAUACGGGCAGACUUGAGUUCGGCAGGGGAGACUGGAAUUCCUGGUGUAGCGGUGAAAUGCGCAGAUAUCAGGAGGAACACCGGUGGCGAAGGCGGGUCUCUGGGCCGAUACUGACGCUGAGGAGCGAAAGCGUGGGGAGCGAACAGGAUUAGAUACCCUGGUAGUCCACGCCGUAAACGUUGGGCGCUAGGUGUGGGGCUCAUUCCACGGGUUCCGUGCCGUAGCUAACGCAUUAAGCGCCCCGCCUGGGGAGUACGG
Molecule: ribosomal RNA, 832 nt
Filed under: uncultured bacterium
Lineage: Bacteria
Description: bacterial SSU rRNA
Rfam family: Bacterial small subunit ribosomal RNA
Source: RNAcentral